ACCCCAGUAGCUCAGCCGGACAGAGCGCGCCACUACGAAUGGCGAGGUCCCGGGUUCGACUCCCGGCCGGGGUA
RNAcentral lists this transfer RNA (74 nucleotides) under Amycolatopsis bartoniae. Its description in RNAcentral is "Amycolatopsis sp. SF26 tRNA". It matches the Rfam family "tRNA". From Rfam's summary of the family: Transfer RNA (tRNA) molecules are approximately 80 nucleotides in length. Their secondary structure includes four short double-helical elements and three loops (D, anti-codon, and T loops). Further hydrogen bonds mediate the characteristic L-shaped molecular structure. tRNAs have two regions of fundamental functional importance: the anti-codon, which is responsible for specific mRNA codon recognition, and the 3' end, to which the tRNAs corresponding amino acid is attached (by aminoacyl-tRNA synthetases). tRNAs cope with the degeneracy of the genetic code in two manners: having more than one tRNA (with a specific anti-codon) for a particular amino acid; and 'wobble' base-pairing, i.e. permitting non-standard base-pairing at the 3rd anti-codon position. The record is from Rfam by way of RNAcentral. Lineage: Bacteria; Bacillati; Actinomycetota; Actinomycetes; Pseudonocardiales; Pseudonocardiaceae.